GUUCAGCCGGCACCACUGGUGCGCACUGUACAGCUGUAUCAGCUGCUCGUAGGACAUGUCCAGCAGCUAGCUGCUCGAGGUCCACGCCGCAGCAGGUGAACUUGCGGAAGGUGAUACAUCCUCUUCGCAGACAGCAGAAAAACAUCAGAUUUGUGAUUUAAUUGGGAGUUUUCUGGGAUCGAACAGUGGCUUCGUUUACAGACGUGACAGCUUGAGCCAGAGGGUGCCAGCCAGUGCCAUGAUGUGACCAAGGCCAUCAACAGCAGAGCCGCAAGGGAGCAGGAGCCUUGGUCCCUGAGGACAUGCUGGAGCUAACUUGGGAAUCCUGAGGUGGCCACCUCCAAAAUGUUACAUGAAAGAGAAAAGUAAACAUCUAACUUGCUUAAGCUGCUAUUGUUUUGGGGUUUGUCAUUUACAGCCAAACCUAAUCCUCAUUAAAAUAGUGGUGGAACUGGAAUUUGAACCAGUUUACUCCCAAGACCAAACUUAACCUCUUUGACAUAUUAUUUCUACUGUAAAACUCUACGCCCACACCAGUUCAUCUUUAAAAAAAAAAAAAAAUUUAUUUUCUCACAUUUCUGGAGGUUAGAUCCAAU
Molecule: long non-coding RNA, 596 nt
Filed under: Homo sapiens (human)
Lineage: Eukaryota; Metazoa; Chordata; Mammalia; Primates; Hominidae
Description: HSALNT0294755
Source: RNAcentral